Molecule: ribosomal RNA, 433 nt
Filed under: uncultured bacterium
Lineage: Bacteria
Description: partial 16S ribosomal RNA
Rfam family: Bacterial small subunit ribosomal RNA
Source: RNAcentral
AACGAACGCUGGCGGCAUGCCUAACACAUGCAAGUCGAACGAGACCUUCGAGUCUAGUGGCGCACGGGUGCGUAACGCGUGGGAACCUGCCCUUAGGUUCGGAAUAACUCCCCGAAAGGGGUGCUAAUACCGGAUAAUGUCUUCGGACCAAAGAUUUAUCGCCUUUGGAUGGGCCCGCGUUGGAUUAGCUAGUUGGUAGGGUAAAAGCCUACCAAGGCGACGAUCCAUAGCUGGUCUGAGAGGAUGAUCAGCCACACUGGGACUGAGACACGGCCCAGACUCCUACGGGAGGCAGCAGUGGGGAAUAUUGGACAAUGGGCGAAAGCCUGAUCCAGCAAUGCCGCGUGAGUGAUGAAGGCCUUAGGGUUGUAAAGCUCUUUUACCCGGGAUAAUAAUGACAGUACCGGGAGAAUAAGCUCCGGCUAACUCCGUG